CGCGAUCCAGGGUAAAAGGAACCCUAGGCCCACGAGCCAAUCUCGCGGCCGUCUCCCUCGCUUCCUCCGCAGCCUCGCAGCCGCCUCCCCCGCUCCCUCCGCACCGCAGCCGCCCUCCACAGCCCGCAGCCGCCUUCCCCGCUCCCUCUGCACCUAGCCCCCCGCUCCCCUCCUUCUCUACUCUGCUCUCCACUAUGCCGCCUCCUCCUCUCUCACUUUUCUCUCCGGCGGCGGUGCCAAAGAAGGCGCACACGGGCGGUGGAUCCGUGCCGGAGAAGAGCUGCGGGACUGCGCUUCGGUCGUGGUGGGGUGCAGCCGCGGGGAAGACGAACUUGGUCCGCCGCCCGUCUUCACCUUCUCGCCGCGACCUUGCUGCCUCCAUGGCCAAACACACGUAUUUUUUUUUUCUGUCCCUCCAUGGCGCUCGUUGCCGGCGGCAUCUCUCUUUUCCCCCUUACCCUCCCUUUUUAUCUACCUGCUGUUGCUCAUCCUCCAAUCUCUUAAAUUCAGACAGGCUGGACGCAACGCACACGGUCUAGGAAGGCCACGACAUGACUAGAUAUUUGCUUGCUUGGUUUAGUCGCUUGUAAUCAGUGUACAUGCAUGUGACUUGUCCAUGUUAGCUUUUGUUUUUGCAGAUUAUCGGUUAUUUUUUGUGUUCGAACUUUUUUUGUGUUCUUUUAUUAUCAAUUGUAGGUGCUGCUUCUAUCUUCUGGAAGUUAACAGCAUUUUUCCUUGUAAAAUCCUCACACCAGGCUGUCAUUGACAAGGAAAGGAGAGGAGACUACUUGAAGAAAACGUCCAGGUUGGGCCACAUAUCACAGAUGGAAUUCAGGAUUGGAUCGAAUGCGUGGCGAUAAAGCUGGUUGACGGUAAACAAGGGACUCCUGAUGUUUGUGUGAUAGUUUCGUUGGAACUAUAGGUAAACAAGAUAAUUUCAUGUGUAGCACAGCUUGCAAUGCAGCACACUUAAAGCAUACAUGUGGAAGUGUGCAGUUCCUUCGGAUGUUCCCAUAGCUAUGUAAGUCUGCCCAGUGCAGGGACAAAAUCUUUUCUCACCGCGCAUAAUGACAGUGGCACUCUUGAUGAGGGGAUAUUGAAUCAAUGCAUUUUAUUGAAGCAUUAGGUCAAUUUUCAUACCGUGUAGGACCUGGAAAUUUUUGCCUCGUCCAUGUCAGCCUUGUUCCAGUACUAAAUGUAGUUGGUGAGCAGGUAUGUUUUACUCAUUUGAACAAUGAGCUAAGAUAAUGAGAAGUUGCUGCAAUGCUUGCAGUUCUAUUGAGGUCCAUGUCAUGUGGUAUUACUAUAUGCUAAAUAGGCACUUUUUGCAAAGAAAUAUAAGUACGUUCUUGAAAAACCAUUUUUCUGAAUGAUAUGAACUAUGAAAGUGUAAUUGUACUUUGUAGUAGUUUCUGCUGAGAUGCAAUUUGGCUUAGGCAAAGUGGCAUUCGUUAUUAUAGUAAAAAUGGAAAGAGGUUACGAACAUAGAAAAUAUUGAAUUAUUGACGGAUCUCUCAAAACAGUCUCAGCUGGUUGUAGGUUGUUUGGUGAGGUUGCAGCUUGCAGGUUGCUGAGUUUCUCCUCUCUGCUUGUUGGUUUUCUUUGAUUAGUAGAACAAGUAGCACACCACGUGUUUGUGAAAAUGCUUCUCACAGAUGAAACUUUUUGUGUGCCUAGACCUGCCUUCUUUCUUAGGAGAAUAUGCUUGCUGAGACAUUAUGGUCUAAAUUUCAUAAAUAAGUUCGUGCAUUUCUUUUCCUGGGUUCAUUUAGGUAUCUAGAACGUGUGUUCCUUAUGUGUUUCUGUCAUUGUGUGAUGGUAUUUAUGUAUUUAACUUUUUGGAACUUUGUUUCAAGAUUUGCAUAGAGCGGACCACCUUGCAACAGUGUUGGGUUAUAUAACCCAUGGUUUCUUCAUGAUUCGACUUUAUUAUCAGAUCCAUGCAAGAGGUAACUAAUCUGUACCAUUUCUUUCUUUUCUAUCAUUGGUAUUUGCUUACAGGGAUAUGCAAGCAAGACCUAUUUUGGUUGGCAUAGUUAUGCUAGGAAGUGGAGUCGGAGAUUAUGCCUACGCCAUUAAUCAGUACACUAUGAAAUAAAUGAAACAUCAUGUGUUUUUCUAGCAGACCCAAAAUAGCAAACUUAGUGAAGAUCCUAAAAACAACAAUGGAAUGAUUUGCAAGGAAAUCUAACCAACCAAACAAACAUAACCAAACUUGCCUCAUUUUAUAGCGUUUAGAUAAUGUACAACAUUGUAUUGGUAUUGUACAACUAUUUAUUGGGUAGGUUAGCAUGAAAACAACAUAGUGCUGAUUUCGUUUACAUUACAAUUUAUUUGAUUCACAGAACCCGGGUAGCAUGAUUUUGGCAGGAGAAAGGAGGAUUAUCAUUUCUAGAGGUUGAUUUUUUUUUUCUUUUUAUGAAUGGCAAAUGCUAAAUUCUGUUACCAUGAAUUAGAAAUUAUAAUCCUCUAGCUAUCCAGUGUUAGAGGAUUAUCCUUUAGCAUUUCUACUGAAUAUCAAAUAUCAGUUAGGGCUUACCAUUCUACAUUUCUACUGAAUAUCAAAUAUCAAUUAGUACUUGUUGCAUAAAAUAAAUUAGUAUUUACCAUUCUACGUUCCUCCUGAAUAUUAGUAUCACAUGUUUAUACUAAUUUUCCAACCAGGGGAACUCCAGUUCCGAAAAGUUUAUACUCACCAGUGAGCUAUUCCCAGUAGAAAUUACUGGACAGGAGCAAAAUUCUUUUUCAAGAUCAUGUGAGUUGAGCUACAGCUUGGUUGGAGAUGUUGGUGCGGUUCAAGAGGCCCGCUGGGUUCACCCUUUUCAAGGUUCUAAACCAGGGCAAGCUCAACAAGGUCGAGGAUCUAUGGAAGGAGUUCACGACUCGGACUCGACGAGAAAGUUUUGUGCUUCAUUUUUUUUAUGGCAAAAUAACUUCUCUUUUUGAAACAAUUAGUACGUCAUAUAUCUAUCACAUUAUAAUAGAGUAAGUCAACAAAAUCCCUUUUAUUUGAAUGAACAAGAAUCCGUUGUGUGCUGCUGAGCUAUGUGCCCCUUUUCCAAAUGUUAGAAAGGUUAUCUUAGUUGUCACAUAGAAGUUGGUUUGGGCUUCUAGGCUCAUUUGAUGUUUGCAUGACUUAUUUGAACCCGAUGCCGGCCUCACCGGCAUCCUGAGGUGACACAGCGACGGCCAUGCUCGACACCCUCUUUCGCGACUUGACGACAGCCUAGCGUCAUAGGCAGCUCAUCGGUGGUCCAGCGGAUGGCGACCCAUUUGGGUGGGUGACGACGACCGCAGCUGGUGCACAAGCUCACACUCCACCAGUCCGUACUCAACUCUUCGUCUCGGGUGCGGACUGAGAGUUGGAUGCUCUGUGCCAGGAUAUGAAAGUUUUGUGACCAUUGUUGUGCCAGCUGUGAGGUAUAAUGCUAAUUGGGCUUGUGAAUUUAUUGUGUCUUGGAAUGGAUUGCCGAAUUGUUCGGGUUUUCUCAGUAUGUAGUUUCUUUUAUUUAUUUUUUAUUCUUAUAAUUCAGUGGUCCUUGAUUGCAACCUGGUGUCAUCCUGUUCCUACUCACAUGUUACAGUAGUGCACGAGCUGACAGGGAAGAAAUCUUGGUUUCAAAGUUCUCUCUGUCCGUGGCCAACUGAGUCGGGUCUACUUAACUUUGCUAUCUGACAGAUAUAGCUAUUUUAUUUUCACAUUCAAUUAGGCAAUCUUUUGAGGAGGUUAAAAUGAGUUAUAUUUUGGGCAUGCUUGAUGGCUAUUUUUAUGUUGUGUCAUGUUAGUAGUGUUCUUUAUUUGUUUAUGGGUCAGAUUGUUUGUUUGGUCUUAUGGUUUAGAUGUUUGUCCUCACAGUUUUGAUAUGUUUAUAUAGUACUUUUGGAAUGGGAUAUGAUUCUUUUUGGGUUUUUUAGUUUACGCAUUCGUUCUAAGAAUCUUGAUAUCUGGCUGUGUUGUUGUAGAUUUGUAAAAAAAAUUCUUGGGAUCCAUCUAUUCAACCAUGUUGGAGUAGGCUAUAUGAUCUUUUUAGUUCUGACCACAUAUGCUUCUUCCUUGGUCUGUUCACCAAGGUUUGCUCCCUUCCUUUCUCACUGUUGAUGCAUUAGCUUUGUUUCAUUAUACUCUUACGAUGCUCUGCAUCUGUGAUGAUCCACCACCAACUGAGGUAUAUAAAUAAGCUGUGUUUCCUACAUUUGUGCUGAUCCACACAACUUGCUGGUCUCCAAUUUAUUUCUUUUCUGACCAUCUGCAUUUGUGUAUGUAGUCAUGGACACCGACUUAAAAAAUGAACAAUGCUACCCCUUCAGCUGCAGGUGCAGGGUACUAUGUCUGGACUUGGCUUUUGAUUUCAAUUCGUCUUGCUUUUUUGUACUAAAUCUUUGAUUCGUGCUUUUUCUCUUUUCAAUAGUAAAUCAUCUUGCAAUACCCAUGGUGCCACACGUGUUUUAUUCACCAAUCCUGUCAAGAGAAAUUAAAAUCAAGACGCCGAUUAGCUUAGCCUUGGGCUGCUCCUUUUCUGCCUUCUGUUUCCUGUAUACACCCAUCUUUCUUUGAUGUACCUAAAUUUCUUUUUGUUGUGUUAGGUUGACAGUGACAGUAGAUGGAGCUUCUCUGACCGCUACUGAAGACACCGCUGAACAGCUUAACCAGACAAAGACAAAGUGCUAUUAUGUAGGCAUGGUUUAAAAACUAUAGCCUUUGGCUGGUCAAGUAGCCUUGCCAAAGCGUUUGUGUAAUCUCUACAAGUGGUAUGAAGCAAAUUCUAUGUAUAUAACACACACGAUGCAGAUAAUAAUUAUAUAGAAGCAGAGAAUCAACCUUGCUAGAGCGUUUGUCAAAUCUCUACUCAAGUAGCCUUGCCAAACUUUAUCUGUUGUGUUCUU
This is a long non-coding RNA of Triticum aestivum (bread wheat), 4884 nucleotides long. RefSeq lists it as uncharacterized. The transcript has 6 exons. NCBI's taxonomy places the organism in Eukaryota, Viridiplantae, Streptophyta, Magnoliopsida, Poales, Poaceae. The record is from RefSeq and is a predicted model, not a curated record.